RNAcentral lists this transfer RNA (79 nucleotides) under Salmonella enterica subsp. enterica serovar Muenchen. Its description in RNAcentral is "tRNA-OTHER". It matches the Rfam family "tRNA". From Rfam's summary of the family: Transfer RNA (tRNA) molecules are approximately 80 nucleotides in length. Lineage: Bacteria; Pseudomonadati; Pseudomonadota; Gammaproteobacteria; Enterobacterales; Enterobacteriaceae. The record is from RNAcentral. RNAcentral also lists the same sequence under 1 other name.
GCGGCCAUAGCAUAAAGGACAGUGUUCACGGUCUGGUCGACCCGUGGCGGUGCGGGUUCGAGUCCCGCUGGCCGCUCCA